Molecule: unclassified non-coding RNA, 305 nt
Filed under: Hevea brasiliensis (rubber tree)
Lineage: Eukaryota; Viridiplantae; Streptophyta; Magnoliopsida; Malpighiales; Euphorbiaceae
Source: RNAcentral
AAAACGCAUUCAACCUCCAACUUCAAUUACUUGAGCCUUCAGUCGAUUCUCUUCUUUCGCUCCCUCUCUUUUUCUCCUUAAAUCUUCAGUGUAUUAACUCUUAACUUGAUUCUCUUCAAUUUCUUCACUCUUCUGCUUGAAUCGCAUCAUUGAAUCUUCAGUUUCUUCACGAUGUCCGAUUCUUUCUUGAGAGAUUGACUGUAGUUAUAGCCAGUCUUGUAAAGGAGUUUCUCUCUCAGCUGCUUCAGGGCUUGCAACAUGUCUACUGGUCCUGGUCUUGAGUCUCUUGUAGAUCAAACAAUUUC